RNAcentral lists this small RNA (153 nucleotides) under Bacillus sp. (in: firmicutes). RNAcentral describes it as "Bacillus sp. Guanidine-I sequence". It matches the Rfam family "Guanidine-I riboswitch aptamer". From Rfam's summary of the family: This family represents a conserved RNA structure found upstream of the ykkC and yxkD genes in Bacillus subtilis and related genes in other bacteria. The function of this family is unclear although it has been suggested that it may function to switch on efflux pumps and detoxification systems in response to harmful environmental molecules. Nelson showed that this riboswitch senses and responds to guanidine and it was renamed Guanidine-I riboswitch. The record is from RNAcentral. RNAcentral also lists the same sequence under 1 other name. Lineage: Bacteria; Bacillati; Bacillota; Bacilli; Caryophanales; Bacillaceae.
CGACUAGCAGUCUAGGGUUCCGUUAACGACGGCUCGGCGCGGCAAUAACGCGUUUGGCAUGUAGUUAAGCCUGGUCCAAGAGACGGCGUAUAGAUGAAGCGGCGCGAGCGGCCGCCCGUCUAUAUAACACGGAAGGAUAAAAGCCUGGGAGAU